This 5160-nucleotide long non-coding RNA is filed under the name Homo sapiens (human). RNAcentral's name for it is "HSALNT0396560". The record is from RNAcentral. Lineage: Eukaryota; Metazoa; Chordata; Mammalia; Primates; Hominidae.
AGGCUUAAUACUUAGAAAGUGCUAGAGCAGCCUCUAUUAGGGGAUCUCUUCUCUGAUUGUACUCCACUUGCUGUAACACCAAAGGAUGCAGAACCAGGUUCUGUAGCAGAAAUUGCUGGUGUCUGUGGCAGGGGAGGGCACCUGAGGACAGGGAAGAAGAAACAUAUUUUUAUCUUUAUGGAGCAGCACAUUGUUCCCAAAUACCUUCUGCUUUAAGGGACAGAAAUGGAUGGACUUUUUCUGUCUUUUCUGCCAGUUGAUGUCAUGCUUGCAGGUAAACAUGUGGUACUGACACCCUUAAAGGCAUAUUCUCAAGAGGCAGGUAAAAAACCAAUUCCAAAAAAGUAUUGCAACAAAAGGAAGCACCAAAUAACUAUAAUAUCUUUAUGGCUUGCAAAAAUAUAGGCAGAAAAGGGCUUUCUUUUCUAGGGAAGAGCAAACAAGAUUAGAAAGGAGGUGGGAGAGGAACAGCAAAUGGAGGGUGAAAAAGUCAGAUUUUAGAUCAGAGAAUGGCUUACCCUGAAAUCAGCAUGUUCUUAGGAGGGACAUAAAAUGGGGUUGUAUGUUGACUCAGACUGAGGGUAGCUUGAAUUUCAGGAGCCUGAGAGAAGAUAAACUUAAGUAAAAUUUGAUUAAGAAAUAUUUUAUUUUAGGCUGGGUGUGGUGGCUCAAGUCUGCAAUCCCAGCACUUUGGGAGGCUGAGGCAGGCGGAUCACCAGAGGUCAGGAGUUCAAGACCAGCCUGGCCAACAUGGUGAAACCCUGUCUACUAAAAAUACAAAAAUUAGCUGGGCGUUGUGGCAGGUGCCUGUAAUCCCAGAUACUUGGGAGGCUGAGGUAGGAAAAUUGCUUGAGCCCUGGAGGUGAAAGCUGAAGUGAGCCGAGAUGGCCCCACUACACUCCAGCCUGGGUGACAGAGUGACACUCCAUCUCAAAAAAAAAAAAAAUCAUAAUUGAUUUUGACUGCUGAAGGCAAAUUCAGCUGGUUUUUUGUUUUUUUUUUAAUGAGAAAAAGGAGAAAAUGUGCAGAGUGUAUGUCUGGCUGUGUGAUAGGCAAGAAAAGGGAGCAUCAUCUUAAUCAUAACGGGAAGAGUGUUUCUUUCCAUAAACUGUUCCUGAAGCACACAAAGGAAGGAGAAUUUUAUUAAUCACAAAUAUUUUUCAUAAUUAUCUAUGUGUUUCAUCUUUCCUCAUCUCUUUUCUUUGUUCUAUGCAUUUCUUCCACUUGGCUUUUCCUGGGCUGCAUCUUAUAUAUUAAACCAGUAAGCAUAACUACAGUGUUUUGCUGAGUUCUGUGAGUAGCUCUACCAAAUUACUGAGCUUCAGGGAAGUUAUGGGAGUCCCCAGUUUUUAAACAGUAGCUCAGAACCAUAGAUGGGCCCAUGGGAUUUAUGACUGGCAUCUGCAGUGAGAACAAUGUUGUGGGACCGAGCCCUGAAUCAGGGUCUGUGCUGACUCUGGGUAGUGUUAGAAAUCAAAUGUUAUACAAUAAGUUGGUGUUGGAGAAUUGUUUGAUGUUCAGCAAAUGCUACAGAUUUGGUGCCAGAAAGAAGAUAUCAUGGAGGCCUGGCCUGGAAUAAAACUCUGGGUGUUUGGGAAUGGGAGAUUCUGCUCUCCUGUACACAGAUUGUCACACUGCCCAUUGUCCUGUGAUUCCAGGUCUUCUCCCAGGGUGACAGAGGACUGAAAACUUACAGGAAAGGAGCUCUGAUGACACAUCCCCUUUUCUUGCAGCUGCCACCACAGGAUUCCCACAUACUCCCAAACACACACACUAGACAUUGACAUGUCCACACUCCUCCCAGGACUAGGCACCACCCUCAGUGACUUCACCAUGACAUUUUUGGUCCAAGCACUUCUAGCCAAAAAGCCAAAAGUAUCUACAAGUUUCCUUGCAUAUUCCCAUCCCCGGAUAUCGAAUCUGCAGCAGCAACCUGUUUUCUCCACCAGCCUAGGGUUCUGGCCCUCCUUUUCAUAAUCUCAUCUGCCUGCAUGCACACAGAAAUAAAUCAGAGUACAGCCCCACCUGGUCAACUAUCUGUAGCAAAAAUCUGUCCAUUCACUGACAUUGCACUCUCUCUCACCUGGGGAUUUUUUUUCUUUUUUUUUUUAAUUUAUUUUUUUUAUUGAUCAUUCUUGGGUGUUUCUCGCAGAGGGGGAUUUGGCAGGGUCAUAGGACAAUAGUGGAGGGAAGGUCAGCAGAUAAACAAGUGAACAAAGGUCUCUGGUUUUCCUAGGCAGAGGACCCUGCGGCCUUCCGCAGUGUUUGUGUCCCUGGGUACUUGAGAUUAGGGAGUGGUGAUGACUCUUAACGAGCAUGCUGCCUUCAAGCAUCUGUUUAACAAAGCACAUCUUGCACCACCCUUAAUCCAUUUAACCCUGAGUGGACACAGCACAUGUUUCAGAGAGCACAGGGUUGGGGGUAAGGUCAAGAGAUCAACAGAAUCCCAAGGCAGAAGAAUUUUUCUUAGUACAGAUCAAAAUGAAGUCUCCCAUGUAUACUUCUUUCUACACAGACACGGCAACCAUCCGAUUUCUCAAUCUUUUCCUCACCUUUCCCCCCUUUCUAUUCCACAAAACCGCCAUUGUCAUCAUGGCCCGUUCUCAAUGAGCUGUUGGGUACACCUCCCAGACGGGGUGGUGGCCUGGCAGAGGCGCCCCUCACCUCCCGGACGGGGUGGCUGGCCGGGCUGGGGGCUGACCCCCCCCACCUCCCUCCCGGACGGGGCGGCUGGCCGGGCGGGGGGCUGACCCCCACCUCCCUCCCGGAUGGGGCGGCUGGCCGGGCGGGGGGCUGACCCCCCCCACCUCCCUCCCGGACGGGGUGGCUGCCGGGCGGAGACGCUCCUCACUUCCCAGACAGGGCGGUGGGGCAGAGGCGCUCCCCACAUCUCAGACGAUGGGUGGCCAGGCAGAGACGCUCCUCACUUCCCAGAUGUGAUGGCGGCCGGGAAGAGGCGCUCCUCACUUCCUAGAUGGGAUGGUGGCCAGGCAGAGACGCUCCUCACUUUCCAGACUGGGCAGCCAGGCAGAAGGGCUCCUCACAUCCCAGAUGAUGGGCGGCCAGGCAGAGACGCUCCUCACUUCCCAGAUGGGGUGGCGACCGGGCAGAGGCUGCAAUCUCGGCAUUUUGGGAAGCCAAGGCAGGCGGCUGGGAGGUGGAGGUUGUAGCGAGCCAAGAUCACGCCACUGCACUCCAGCCUGGGCACCAUUGAGCACUGAGUGAACCAGACUCCGUCUGCAAUCCCGGCACCUCGGGAGGCCGAGGCUGGCGGAUCACUCGCGGUUAGGGGCUGGAGACCGGCCCGGCCAACACAGCGAAACCCCGUCUCCACCAAAAAAACACGAAAACCAGUCAGGCGUGGCGGCGCGCGCCUGCAAUCACAGGCACUCGGCAGGCUGAGGCAGGAGAAUCAGGCAGGGAGGCUGCAGUGAGCUGAGAUGGCAGCAGUACAGUCCAGCUUCGGCUCGGCAUCAGAGGGAGACCGUGGAAAGAGAGGGAGAGGGAGACCCUGGGGAGAGGGAGACGGAGACGGAGAGGGAGAGGGAGGGGGAGGCGGAGGGAGAGGGAGAGGGGAUUUGUUUUUCUUUUAGCUUUUAUUUUUGGUUCCGGGUACACAUGUGGGUUUGUUAUACAGCUAAAAUUAUGUCAUGGGGAUUUGGUGUGCCGAUUAUUUUGUCACUGAGGUACUACCCAUAGCACCAAACAAUUAUGUUUUCUGAUCUUCUGAGUCCUUCUACCCUCCAGCCUCAACUAGGCCUGUGUCUGUUCUUCUCUUUGUGUUCUGUGUUCUUACUUCUUAGCUCUUAUUUAUAAAUUAUAACAUGCAUUUGGUUUUGUGUUUCCGCAUUAGUUUUCUUUUUUUGUUGUUUUUUUGUUUGUUUGUUUUGAAAGGGAGUUUUGCUCUUGUUGUCCAGGCUGGAGAGCCAUGGUAACAUCUUGGCUCAUCAAAACAUUCGUAUCCUGGGUUCAAGCGGUUCUCCUGCCUCAGCCUCCCCAGUAGCUGGGGUUACAGGCAGGCACCACCAUGCCUAGCUAAUUUUGUAUUUUUAGUAGAGACAGGGUUAAUCCAUGUUGGUCAGGCUAGUCUCAAACUCCCAACCUCAGGUGGUUCGCCCACCUCGGCCUCCCAAAGUGUUAGCAUUACAGGCAUGAGCCACCAUGUCCAGCCUCUGCAUUCAUUUUCUAAGAAUAAUGGUCUCCAGAUUCAUCUAUGUUAUUGCAAAGGACAUGAUUUUUUUUAAAUAGCUACCCAGUAUUUUGUAAUGUUUAUAUACCAUAUUUUGUUUUUACUAAAUCUUUUAUUUUAUUUUAUUUUUGGAGACAGGCUUAUUGCCUAGGCUACAGUGCCAGGGCAUGAUAUUGGCUUACUUUAGCCACAAUCUCCCAGGCUCAAGCAAUUCUCUCCUACCUCAUCUUCCCUUGUAGCUGGGACUACAUACGUGCAUUACCAUAACUGGGCAAUUUUAUAUAUUUUUUUUUUCCGGGGAGACAAGAUUUUGUCUUGUUGCCCAGGCUGGUCUCAAACUUCUAAGCUCAGGCAACCCACCUGCCAUGGCCUCCCAAAGUGCUGGGAUUAUAGGCAUGAGCCACAACAUCUGACCAUACCAUAUUUUCUUUAUCUAGUCUAUCAUUGGUAGGCAUUUAGUGCCUGUCCGUGUCUUUGCUAUUGUGAAUAGUGCUACAGUGAACAUGCAUAUAGAUGUGUCUUUGUAAUAUAAUAAUUUAUAUUUCUUUGGGUAUAUACCCAAUUAUGAGGUUGCUGGGUCAAAUGAUAAUUCUGUUUCUAGUUCUGUGAGGAAUCGCCACACUGCUUUUUACAGUUGUUGAACUAAUUUACACUCUCACCAGCAGAGUAUAAGCAUUCCCUUUUCUCUGCAACCUUGCCAGCAUCUAUUAUUUUUUGACUUUUUAAAAAUAGCCAUUCUGAUGGGUGUGAUGCGGUAUCUCAUUGUGGUUUUUCUUUUAAUUUCUCUAAUAAUUAGCAAUGAGCAUUUUUUUCACAUGCUUGUUAACUGCACAUUUGUCUUCUUUUGAAAAGAAUAUGUUCAUGUUUUUCUUUUCUACUUUUAAUGAGGUUAUUUGUUUUUUUUCUUGUAAACUUGUUUGAGCUCUUAAUAAAUUCUGGAUAUUAGUCCUCUGUCAGAGGCAAUGUUUGCA